UGGGGAAUAUUGGACAAUGGGCGAAAGCCUGAUCCAGCCACGCCGCGUGAGUGAUGAAGGCCUUCGGGUUGUAAAGCUCUGUGGGAGGGGACGAAAAAGGCGGCCAAGAAACGGGUCGCCCUUGACGGUACCUUCUUAGCAAGCACCGGCUAACUCUGUGCCAGCAGCCGCGGUAAGACAGAGGGUGCAAACGUUGCUCGGAAUCACUGGGCGUAAAGCGCGUGUAGGCGGACGAUCAAGUCAGUUGUGAAAUCCCUGGGCUCAACCUAGGAACUGCAUCUGAAACUGGUCGCCUUGAGUGUCGGAGAGGGAAGCGGAAUUCCGGGUGUAGAGGUGAAAUUCGUAGAUAUCCGGAGGAACACCGGUGGCGAAGGCGGCUUCCUGGACGACUACUGACGCUGAGACGCGAAAGCGUGGGGAGCAAACAGG
This 429-nucleotide ribosomal RNA is filed under the name uncultured Myxococcales bacterium. RNAcentral's name for it is "bacterial SSU rRNA". It matches the Rfam family "Bacterial small subunit ribosomal RNA", at positions 355 to 776 of the family's 1533-position model. The record is from RNAcentral. Lineage: Bacteria; Pseudomonadati; Myxococcota; Myxococcia; Myxococcales.